GACGAACGCUGGCGGCGUGCCUAAUACAUGCCAGUUGAGCGCUGAAGGUUGGUACUUGUACCAACUGGAUGAGCAGCGAACGGGUGAGUAACGCGUGGGGAAUCUGCCUUUGAGCGGGGGACAACAUUUGGAAACGAAUGCUAAUACCGCAUAAAAACUUUAAACACAAGUUUUAAGUUUGAAAGAUGCAAUUGCAUCACUCAAAGAUGAUCCCGCGUUGUAUUAGCUAGUUGGUGAGGUAAAGGCUCACCAAGGCGAUGAUACAUAGCCGACCUGAGAGGGUGAUCGGCCACAUUGGGACUGAGACACGGCCCAAACUCCUACGGGAGGCAGCAGUAGGGAAUCUUCGGCAAUGGACGAAAGUCUGACCGAGCAACGCCGCGGGAGUGAAGAAGGUUUUCGGAUCGUAAAACUCUGUUGGUAGAGAAGAACGUUGGUGAGAGUGGAAAGCUCAUCAAGUGACGGUAACUACCCAGAAAGGGACGGCUAACUACGCG
Molecule: ribosomal RNA, 497 nt
Filed under: uncultured bacterium
Lineage: Bacteria
Description: partial 16S ribosomal RNA
Rfam family: Bacterial small subunit ribosomal RNA
Source: RNAcentral